UACGAGAGGCCCAAACGUUAUUCGGAUUUACUGGGCUUAAAGAGUUCGUAGGCGGUGCAGAUAGUGGGGUGUGAAAGCCCUCGGCUCAACCGAGGAAUUGCGCUCCAAACUCCUGUACUCGAGGAAGCUAGAGGUGAGCAGAACUGAUGGUGGAGCGGUGAAAUGCGUUGAUAUCGAGAGGAACACCUGCGGCGAAAGGCGGGUUGCU
This 208-nucleotide ribosomal RNA is filed under the name uncultured bacterium. RNAcentral's name for it is "partial 16S ribosomal RNA". It matches the Rfam family "Bacterial small subunit ribosomal RNA", at positions 524 to 730 of the family's 1533-position model. The record is from RNAcentral.